RNAcentral lists this ribosomal RNA (397 nucleotides) under uncultured bacterium. Its description in RNAcentral is "bacterial SSU rRNA". It matches the Rfam family "Bacterial small subunit ribosomal RNA", at positions 29 to 416 of the family's 1533-position model. The record is from RNAcentral.
AACGAACGCUGGCGGCGCGCCUAAUACAUGCAAGUCGAGCGAGAAGACGUAGCAAUACGUUUGUAAAGCGGCGAACGGGUGAGGAACACAUGGGUAACCUACCCUAGAGUGGGGAAUAACUAGCCGAAAGGUUAGCUAAUACCGCGUACGCUCCUUGGACUUCGGUACAGGGAGGAAAGCGAUACCGUGGGUAUCGCGCUCUUGGAUGGGCUCAUGUCCUAUCAGCUUGUUGGUGAGGUAACGGCUCACCAAGGCUUCGACGGGUAGCUGGUCUGAGAGGACGAUCAGCCACACUGGCACUGCGACACGGGCCAGACUCCUACGGGAGGCAGCAGUAAGGAAUAUUGCGCAAUGGGCGAAAGCCUGACGCAGCGACGCCGCGUGUGGGAUGACGGCC